ACUCUCUCUCCCUCUUCAUCUCUCUCUCUCUCCUUCAUCUCUUUCUUUUUCUCCACCUCUUUCUCAAUUACCCCCCUCUCUCUCUCUUUUAGGCAACCAUGUUUUUAUGGCAGGAGUCAACCAAAUAAAAGCAGCCCCACCAAUCUGUGGGGGAGAAAAGCCGCUGGUUCAAUGAAGUGAUCUAUUCAACUCAGUGUUUCUCUCUCUUGCUCUCUUCAUUAAUUCCAUACUGUCCUGCCUUUUCAUCCUUUCUGUCUUUUGUUUUCUGUCUCUCUUACUUUUUAUUCCCCUCCUUCUUUCUCUGGCUGGCUGAGCUCUGACAAGGGGAUAGAAUCAAGAGUUUGGGAGAGGAGAGGGACAUUUGGGAGCGAGAUGGCGAGUGGGACGGUGGCGUUGUUCCUGUAUGGAUUCCUGCUCCUGUCUCUGUGGAAACCUUCACUGCAAGGAGGUGUAUACAUACCUGCUGGUGUAGGUGAAGCUGGGGCUGGAUUAGGAGCUGGAGCAGGAGUCAGAGCUGGAUUUGGUCCAGGUGGAGCUGGCACCAGUUUUGGGCCUGGUGGUGUAGGCACUGGAUAUGGGCCAGGUGGCGGAGCCGGAGUUGGACCAGGAGGUGUAGGUGGAGCUGGGGCUGGUCCAGGAGGUGCAGGCUUUGGCCCUGGAGCCGGUGGAGGUUACACCAAGCCAGGGAAGACGGGAGCUGGCUAUGGUGGUCAGGUUGUAGGCCAAGGCCAAGGCCAAGGAGGACUGGGGACUGGAGGUCUGGGGGAAGGAAGAGUUAGACCAGAAGGAGCUGGGGCCGGACCAGGAGGUUAUGGACAUGGCGGUGGUUUAGGAGCUGGAGGCCUUGGAGCAGGAGCUGGCAAUGGAGGUUGGGGUCCUGGAGGACAGGGGGCUGGACUAGGAGCUGGAGGUCUGGGAGGAGGAGGUCUUAGACCAGGAGCCAGACCAGGAGGUUAUGGACCAGGUGGUUAUGGGCCUGGUGCUGAUCUUAGUCUGGGCGGAGCUGUAGCUGGAGGUCUUGGUGGUGGUUACGGACUUGGCGGGGGUCUAGGUGCCGGAGGCCUUGGAGCAGGAGCUGGAGGAAAGCCAGAGAAGGCAGGAGCUGGCUACGGUGGUAGAGAUCCAGGAGGACAGGGGGCUGGACUGGGUGUUGGAGGUUUUGGACCAGGUGGCUAUGGACCAGGUGGAGCUGGUGCUGGACCAGGUGGCUAUGGGCUUGGUGUUGGUCUUGGUCCUGGGGGAGCUGGUCCUGGAGUUUUUGGUGGUGGUUAUGGACCCGAUGGAACAGGAGCUGGCUAUGUAGGUCGCAGUCCUGGGGGACAGGGGGCUGGAUUAGGAGCUGGAGGCUAUGGACCAGGUGGAGCUGGACCAGGAGGAUAUGGGCCUGGUUCUGGUGUUGGCCAGGGUGGAGCUGGUCCAGGUGGUUUUGGUGGUGGUCUUGGAGCUGGCGGACAAGGAGAUGCCCUUGGAGCUGGGUAUGGAGGUCUCGGAGCUGGGGGACUGGGAUCCAGAGGUACAGGUCAGGGGGCUGGAGGACUUGGAGCAGGCCAAGGUCUUGGAGCCGGCCAAGGAGAUGGAUACAGACCUGGAGGAGGCUACGGUGGUGCUGCUGGUGGUCUGUACCCUGGAGCUGGAGGGGCGGGGGCAGGCCAGAAACCUCCCAAAACAGGAGCAGGAAGCACACUAGGAGGAGAUGGAUAUGGACCUGGUGGUGCUGGUGGAUAUUGGCCUGGUGGCGCAGGUGGACAUGGGCCUGGUGGCGCAGGUGGACAUGGGCCUGGUGGCGUAGGUGGACAUGGGCCUGGUGGCGUAGGUGGACAUGGGCCUGGUGGCGCAGGAACUGGGCCUGGUGGCGCAGGAACUGGGCCUGGUGGCGCAGGAACUGGGCCUGGUGGCGCAGGAACGGGACCUGGUGGCACAGGUGGAUAUGGUCCUGGUGGCGCAGGAACUGGGCCUAGUGGCACAGGUGGAGUUGGCCUUGGUGGUUUUGGGCCUGGUGGCGCAGCAGUACCAGCUGGAGCACCAGUACUUCCACAGACUGGAGUCCCUGGGGGUGGAGCUAGAGAGAAGAGCGGUUGGAAGGCCAACAAACAAGUGCCAGGUGUUGGAGUACCUGGACUUUAUCAAGGUGGAAUAGUGCCUAGUCAAGGUUUCGGAGGGCGUGGGGUUCUACCAGGUGUUGCCACUGGAUCCGGACUUGCUCCCCAGACAGGGGCAGGUGUGCUGGGCCAGGGUGGAGUUGGAGCUGGCACUGGAGCUGGAGGUGGCCGAGGCAGUUUAAAUGGAGUGUUCCGUGGAUAUCCCCUCAUAUCACCUAAAUCUGGAGGGGCUGGAGGCAAAUCAGCUAAUUCCCAGGCCAAGCUUGCUGCUAAAUAUGCUGGAGCUGGAGGUGUACUUCGUCAAGGGGGCAUGUCGGGAGCAGGAGGAGUACCUAGCGGUGUACCUGGAGCAGGUGGGGUCCCUGGUUAUGGAGUUGGAGCUGGAGGUGUACUUCGUCAAGGGGGCAUGGCCGGAGCAGGAGGUGUACCUAGCGGCGUACCUGGAGCAGAUGGGGUCCCUGGUUAUGGAGUUGGAGCUGGUGGUGUACCUGGUUACGGAGGUGGAGCAGGAGGCAUACCUGGAUUCGGAGGCGUAGCCAGAGCAGGAGGCGUACCUGGUUACGGGGGCGGAGCCGGACCAGGAGGCGUACCUGGGGCAGGGGGCGUCCCUGGCUCAGGUGGGUAUGGAUACCCAGGGGGUUACCCAGGUGGAGGGCGGUACCCAGGGGCUGGCCUAGGUGUAGGAGGUGCCUACCCCGGAGGAGCUGGAUCUAAGGCAGCCAAAUAUGGUCAGGGUGGAGCAGGCACUGGAGCUGGUGGUGGGCUCAGCCAGGGAGUGCCUGCAUCUGGGAUUGGAACCGGAAGACUGCCUGGUGGGGCUGGAGGGGAACCAGGAGGCGGUUACAGGCCUGGCGGUAGCUUCGGUCCUGGAGGUGGAGUUGGACCAGGUGGGGCCAGUUAUGGACCAGGUGGGGCCGGCUAUGGACCAGGUGGAGCUGGACCUGGUGGCUAUGGACCAGGUAGUGCUGGAAGUUAUGGAACAGGUGGAGGGGUUGGACCAGGUGGUGCCGGGGAAGGACAUGGUGGAGCUGGCUAUGGACCAGGUGGAGGAGUUGGUGGAGUGCCUGGUGGUGGACACAGACCCGGAGGUGGUUUACCUGGUAGUGGUGCUGGUUACGGACCUGGUGCUGGUGUUGGAGGAUAUGAUGCAAAUGCUAAAGCUCGUAAAUAUGGUAUGCUAAGUGGUGUCCUUGGGACCCCAGGAGGAGGACAGGCAGCCAGCCUGGGAGGAGUACCAGGAGGGGGAGCAGGGACUGGAGUAGGCCAGGGUGGAGUGCCUGGAUCUGGGCUUGGUGGUGGUGGAGGUGUCCCUGGUGGUUAUGGUCCUGGAGCUGGAUUUGGACCUGGCCGUGGAACCGGUGGUGGUUAUGGACCAGGAGUGGGUGCUGGGACUGGACUUGGCCAGGGAGCAGGGCCUGGAGCUGGGCUUGGUGCUGGUGGAGUGCCUGGUGGUGGAUACAGACCCGGAGGUGGUUUACCUGGUAGUGGUGCUGGUUACGGACCUGGUGCUGGUGUUGGAGGAUAUCCUGCUGGGGCUAAGUCUCUGAAAUACGGUCCAGGAGGAGGUGGAGGAGCUCCGGGUGGAGGCCUUGGUGGGCGAUUCGGUGCCCCGGGAGGAGGUCUGCCAGGAGGAGGCUACGGACCAGGGGCAGGAGGCGCCUUAGGAGCAGGAGAAGCAGGAGCAGGAGGAAGAGUGCCUGGGGGUGGAUACGGGACCGGAGCUGGGCCUGGUGCAGGGUAUGGAGCAGGAACAGGGCCUGGAGCUGGGUACGGUCAGGGAGCAGGAGGAGUCCCUGGAGGAGGCUAUGAAGCUAGGGCAAGAGCAGGAGGACUACCUGGGGCCGGAUAUGGACCUGGAAGAGGAUAUGGAGCCGGAUCAAAACCUGCUAAAUAUGGACAAGUUGCUGGUGGGGCCGGUGGGGCCCUUGGAGGAGGAGCUGGACAAGGAUUCGGAGGGGUACCAGGUGGCUAUGGACCAGGUGGCUUCGGAGCUGGACCAGGUGGCUUCGGAGCCGGACCAGGUGGCUAUGGAGCCGGACCAGGUGGCUUUGGAGCCGGACCAGGUGGCGUUGGAGCCGGGGGCGGAGCAGGAUUAGGAGGGGUGCCAGGUGGGCUUCCAGGAGGGUACAGCGGUUCUCCCUGGGGGAAAAGGGGCUAUGGUACUGGAUCUGGAUUUAAGGCAGACAAAUAUGGACCAGGUGGGGCAGGAGGGGCCCUUGGUGCUGGGGCAGCUGGAGGUGCAGGGGCUGGGACAGGGACUGGGACCGGGACCAGAGCUGGGACAGGUGCUGGAGGAGGUGCAGGACCUACACCUGGCCCUGGCACAAGAGCAGGAGGAGAUGGCACUGGGACAGGAGCAGGAGGAGACAGGAUAGGCGCAGGAGGAGCAGGCACAGGAGGUGAGCCUGGUGGUGCCGGUGGGGUUCUAGAAGGAUCUGGAAGUUCUGCUGGCCCAGGAGAUGGCACCGGCGUCACAGCUGGUGCUGUUGGAGGAGGGGUGGGAGACACAGGAAUCCCUAGCAUUGGAGGAAAACCAGAUCAAUCGGGGCUCGGGGGGACAGCAAUCCCAGGUGGAAUUGCAGUGCCAGAAACUGGGGCUGGAGUUGUUCAACCCAGUGCUGGGGCUGGAGUUGAUGGGGUAGGAGUUCCCUCUGGAGGUGCUGCUAACGGUGAUAUCACUGGAGGGGGGACUCUACCUGGAGCUAAACCUCUGAAGGCUCCAAGAGGAGAUACACCUGGUGAAGGAGAGGGAGAUGCAGGAGGAGGAGCAAGAGGUGUUGGUGGAGGUCCUGAUGGUGCAGGAGGAGCAGGCAGUGGAUCUGGCGGAGUAGGAAGAGAUGGUGAUGGUAGAGGAGGAGGACCAGGAGGAGCAGACAGUGGAUCUGGCGGUGUAGGAAGAGAUGGUGAUGGUAAAGGAGGAGGAGGACCGGGAGGAGCAGGGGGGAAAGACGGUGGUGCAGUUAGAGUGGGAGGAAGUCCUAACGGUACAGGGGGAGCUGGAGGUUCAGGAGUUGGAGGAGCAGGAGUAGAACCUGGAGGAGGUGCAGGACCAGGCAGUAGUGACAAACCACCCAAAGGUUAUGGAGCAGGUGGGGCUGGCAGUCUGGGUGCAGGAGGUGCUGGAGGAGCAGCUCUGGUCCCUGGGACUGGUGGUGCCGGUGAUAUAGGAGCUGGAACCCCCAAACCAGGAAAAAGCUACGGAGUUGGUGGAGUCCUGCCAGGUGGAGGUCUACGUUACCCAACUGGGGCUAGAGAAGGACUGGGCUCAGGGAAGCCGGGCAAAGGAUAUGGUGCUGGCCAAUUUGGAGCAGGAGGACGACGUCCUGGAGGAUAUGGUGCCGGACCAGGCGGAUACGGAGCCAGUCCUGGAGGAUAUGGCACUGGACCCGGUGGUUAUGGGGCCAGACCCGGUGGUUAUGGUGCUGGUCCAGGUGGUUAUGGGGCUGGAGCUGGUCCUGGUGGCUAUGGUGCUGGGCCAGGUGGAUAUGGUGCUGGACAAGGUGGCUAUGGUGCUGGGCCAAGUGGCUACGGGACAGGGGCUGGGCCUGGAGGAUAUGGAUCCAAGCCAUACAAGACUGGAGGUGCUGGAGCCGGUGGUGUUGGUGGAGGUCUGGGUGGAGCUGGCAGCCUGGGUGCCAUAGGAGCCGGACCAGGAGGAGUGGGUGGAGGUCAAGGAGGCGGUCUAGGUGGAGGUCAAGGUGGAGCUGGACCAGGUGGAUAUAUACCAGGUGGAGUUGGUAGCAGAUACCCCACAGGUGCUGGAACUGGUACAGGAACUGGCACUGGAAAACCACCUAAUAGCUAUGGGAGAGCUGUUGGAGCUGGAGAUGGGCUUGGUGGUUAUGGUGGCGGAACAGUUGGUUAUGGACCAGGAGGAACUGGGGUCGGACUAGGUGGGGCUGGGGCCGGGCAAGGUGGAUAUGGUGCCGGACAUAAAGGUUAUGGACCAGGUGGAGCAGGGCCGGGAGGAGCUGGGGUCAGACCAGGUGGAGCAGAGGCAGGACCUGGUGGCUAUGGUGCUGGGCCUGGAGGUUAUGGGCCUGGGGCUGGUCUUGGUCCUGGCGGAGCUGGUCCUGGAGGUUAUGGGGCUGGACCUGGUGGCUAUGGACCUGGUGGCUAUGGACCAGGUGGCGCUGGAUCUCAUAAAUAUGGUAUGCUAAGUGGUUCCCUUGGAGGGGGACAAGCAGCUGGCCAGGGAAGAGUGCCAGGAGGGGGAGCAAGGACUGGGCUAGGUCAGGGAGGAGUGCCUGGAGGAGGAGCAGGUACUGGGCUAGGCCAUGGAGGAGUGCCUGGAUCUGGGCUUGGUGGCGGUAGUGGUCCGGGUGCUGGGUAUGGACCUGCCAUUGGAACCCAUGGAGGUUAUGGACCAGGAGGUGGUGCUGGGACCGGACUUGGUCAGGGAAGAGCCGGGGUCGGACCAGGUGGCUAUGGACCACUUGGAGCUGGGGCUGGACAGGGAACUGGAGCUGGAGGAUAUGACGCAAAUGCUAAAGCUCGUAAAUAUGGUAUGCUAAGUGGUACCAUUGGAGGAGGACAAGCAGCUGGCCAGGGAAGUGUGCCAGGAGGGGGAGCAGGGACUGGAGUAGGCCAGGGUGGAGUGCCUGGAUCUGGGCUUGGUGGUGGUGGAGGUGUCCCCGGUGGUUAUGGUCCUGGAGCAGGAUUUGGACCUGGUGGUGGAACUGUUGGUGGUUAUGGACCAGGAGGGGGUGCUGGGACCGGACUUGGCCAGGGAGGAGUUGGGGCCAUACCAGAUGGCUAUGGGACUGGGCCUGGUGGUUAUGGACCAGGUGGAGCCGGACAGGGUGCAGUGAAGCCAAACAAAUCAGGUUAUGGCUCCUCCUCCUCGGGUGGAGCUCUCUUUGGACCAGGUGGUGGAGCAGGUGGGGUACCUGGUGCUGGAGCUACCGGGCGAAGAGGAGGAGUACCAGGAGGCUACGGAGUAGGAGAAGCGGGACAGUCAGGGCAGAAAUCAAAGGCACAGAAGGCAGCCAAAUACACAGCCAUGCAAGGCUUCCUGGGAGCACGCAGCUACAGAGGGGUCGCCGACUGCCAGGGUAUAUACUGCGGACGGAGGAGGAAGUGAGAGAGCAGCAAAAAGAAGUGACCUCAUCAACAACAUUGUGGUGCUACUGCAUGAUUCAAUAAUGUACUGAUUUUCAACUACUAAUAUGUCCCUUUUUUCUUUUAAAGUGUGAAUCUCGGGCAAUGGCAAAACCAGAGCCUGUUUGAUCUUUUAUUCUGAAACUGUGAUCAUGUGUUUAUUGUUCCUCACCUGUACUUUAGCCCCUCCUGUGUGUACCCCAUUUACCCAUUUAGCUCCACCACGAAUCAUGUUUGUUUAAAACACUGAUACUAAGGCGUCCCACAACGGAGUGCCUCUAGACCUGUCUGUAUGCUGACUAAACUGUCUGUUUUCUGAUUAAUGUGACUAACAUCCCUCUAUAAAGCUAUGCUAUUGACACACAGGCCCAGACUUACUCAACAUUUGCACCUGCACUUUUCAAUAUACCUAGUUUUUGUUCAAGUUGUUUAGUUGCAAACUUUUACAAUAUCUGGCCCAAGGCGUCUUGAGAUAUAUACACACACUGCUGCCAUAAAUGAAAAUCAUAGGAGAUAUCUUUAGAGUGGUAAUCUUACAACCACCAUUUUUGAUUUAGAACUGUGUCCACUCUGAACCCUCAAAAGGCAGUGUGUGUCCACAGCAACACUCAUGUUCUAACUCUGAUUCUAGUUUCAGCAGUUCUCAAAAAAAAGGAGCUUAUUGCCCUUAGUAAAGGUUUUAAGAUCUUAUAUGCAGUCGUGUAUAAUGUCUUUACAGAAUAUAUAUAGUAAGGUUUAACUAAGCCACUUGCCUGAAAUAUUAUCAACAUCUUUCUGAAUGGCUGUAUAACACUGAAUUGCUGUGAGUGUUUUGAAUACUUAAUCACACCGAUAUGACUGUGUUAGUACAGCCAUAGUUGAGAUGACUGAAAAUGCAAACGUAUAUUUUCUUUGUUUAAAAUCCUCAUCUUGGCUUUACUGAGAGCAACAGUACCUACAUGACAUUUGCAGUUGAUUAAAACUAAUAUUAUAAUCAUGCAAUCCAGAGAUUGGCCUGUUUUCAGACCUAUCACCGUAAAACAUAAUUCUGUUAACUCAAAUUAUUUGAAAAACUGAUUGCCUUGACUCAUUAAAUUAAAGCAACACAUUUUUUUGUAAGUUACCAGUACUCAGUUCAUUUUGUUUUAGUGACUUAGAAGAUUAUGUUACACAGUGAACUGUAGAGAGCAUAUAACUGCAGACUGUUGACAAAAGCCCAACGUUUUUACGCGCGUUAAUUCACCCAGGAAAUAGAAUGCAUGGGAGAGAAUGAGAGACAACAGAUGGGCCUCAACGGUGUCAUUACACAUCAGUUUAGAAAGCAAGUCUAUUUCUCUCCACAUCUACAAGAAGCAAUGCUGGUAAAAUGAGCAAAUAAAUUGCCAGAAAAUAGACUGUUUGCAUCGUUAUGUCUGGAAAUGUGAAAUGUAUAGUUAAACUGAUCAACACUGAAUAGACACUUUUUAACUGCCAAUACAUAUAUGAAAACAAAUGCAUAGAAUUUCGAUCACAGGCAUAUAGCCUAGGCCAGGGGUCUCCAAAGUUUUUUCUAGCCUGAGUUACUUUAAGAAAAAUGUAACAUGUCGCUUCUCUUCUCCCAUUCAACUCUUCCUCAGGUCCUUAGUGUAUAAGAGAAAGUAGUGCACUGUUUUCUGUCAAUAUACCUGGUAAAAUAAGGAUUAAUAAACAACUCUAAGGGGAGACCUAUAAAGUCAGAUUUGUUUUCUCCAAAAUUAUGUUUUCAAUUUCCCAAAAUACGUUUUCUCUGUUUUAUAUUUUCUGGUUUAAGAUGUUGAUUUUACUCUUAAAAUUACAAUUGUUCAUAGAGAAGUUUGUUCUGAGGACAUGUCAAUGGUUAAAUCACAUCAGGAUACCCUUUUUUUUGGGGGGGACAAAUAGAUUUCCCCUUUAUUGUGCAUCUAGCGAGUAAGGAAUGUGCCGUCUAAUGUGCCAGUCUGGCGAUGGUUCUGUACUGCUGCUGCUGCUCAUUUAAUGGCAAAGUUAGUAAAUAACAAAUAGAUACAAAUGAUAUAUUUACUUAUAUCAUUUAUAUAUAAACUUCUGCCUGGUAAGCCUACUGCCACAAGACGGUUAUCGCAUCACCUGGCUACACACGGAGUGAUUGACAAACGCGCCACACCAUAUACAGUAGACAGACGCGCAAUACUACCGGAAAUGAAUUGGCAGAUAUUGUGAAGGUUUAAUUCUCUAUGCCAAUAGUGGCUAACAAGGGGUGGGAUAAUGUCAAUGUUGAGUUGUUUAGAUAGGUGGUAGCUUGCAGUGUCGGAUAAUUGGGAGAUUUGUUUAUGACAGUUUGCGAUGGAACAGAGGAAAAAUUGCAUAUGCUUUCAGAAUUGUUUGGUGAGCUACUCAUAGGUGAGCUGCGAGCUACUGGUAGCUCAUGAUCGACCUGCUGGAGACCCCAGGCCUUGGCAGACUACGGCUGGGAAACUCGAGGAACUACGAUUUCAAGAGAGAAUACUAUUAUGUAGGAAGAACGAACUAGCUAAAUUCCUUAUAGACUGCUCGGGUUUAUUAGCUACAACUCUCCUCAUGUUCAUGAAUAACAAUUUUUUAGCCUGUGCAGGCAGGUACGGUGGCUCCCAUAGGACAUCUAAGAUGAGUCAAAAGGAACACACAAAAAUAGUUCCCAGGUGCUAUAUAGCGAACAUAACAAUUACAACUGUUUAUUAUGGAUUAUCAUGACGAUUACGUUGGCAUACGCUACGCAGUAUAUGUGAAUUGACGCUGGCCUCUCGCAAGCAAAUUUCACACCGUUGACAGGCAUCUCCGGGUGUAAUUUCGGUUUAACACCGAUGCAGUUCAAGUCUUUUCACUCUGAACUUAAACUAUUUGUUUACUUUAGCUUUUUAAAUUAUGAAGGAAAAAAAUGCUAAAACAUUUUCAACAAUGUCUACUCUUCUGAUUUAAAAAAAAAUAAGUGCUUUAUUUUUUUACAUUGUCUUUGAAUGCUCUCUAAUGCUAGUGUUACCUGAGGUGUCAUGUUACAUGUUUAAUGAAACGUUGUAAUCUUGAGUUAUCUAUGGGCUAUAGUGUUUAUAUCAUUAAGCCCAGACAGACAAAGAACAUCUGUGUUUUACCUUAGAAGAGAAUGAUUCACUUUUUUUUACACAGUACACAGUUUUUAAAUAAAGAAAUUACCUGAA
Molecule: long non-coding RNA, 10345 nt
Organism: Oncorhynchus tshawytscha (Chinook salmon)
Lineage: Eukaryota; Metazoa; Chordata; Actinopteri; Salmoniformes; Salmonidae
Source: Ensembl